Molecule: long non-coding RNA, 818 nt
Organism: Gallus gallus (chicken)
Lineage: Eukaryota; Metazoa; Chordata; Aves; Galliformes; Phasianidae
Source: Ensembl
GCGGGAAGGGAAGGGAAGGGAAGGGAAGGGAAGGGAAGGGAAGGGAAGGGAAGGGAAGGGAAGGGAAGGGAAGGGAAGGGAAGGGAAGGGAAGGGAAGGGAAGGGAAGGGAAGGGAAGGGAAGGGAAGGGAAGGGAAGGGAAGGGAAGGGAAGGGAAGGGAAGGGAAGGGAAGGGAAGGGAAGGGAAGGGAAGGGAAGGGAAGGGAAGGGAAGGGAAGGGAAGGGAAGGGAAGGGAAGGGAAGGGAAGGGAAGGGAAGGGAAGGGAAGGGAAGGGAAGGGAAGGGAAGGGAAGGGAAGGGAAGGGAAGGGAAGGCGCGGGAAGGGAAGGGAAGGGAAGGGAAGGCGCGGGAAGGGAAGGGAAGGCGCGGGAAGGGAAGGCGCGGGAAGGGAAGGGAAGGCGCGGGAAGGGAAGGCGCGGGAAGGGAAGGGAAGGCGCGGGAAGGCGCGGGAAGGCGCGGGAAGGGAAGGGAAGGGAAGGGAAGGGAAGGGAAGGGAAGGGAAGGGAAGGGAAGGGAAGGGAAGGGAAGGGAAGGGAAGGGAAGGGAAGGGAAGGGAAGGGAAGGGAAGGGAAGGCGCGGGAAGGGAAGGGAAGGCGCGGGAAGGGAAGGGAAGGGAAGGGAAGGGAAGGCGCAGGAAGGGAAGGGAAGGGAAGGGAAGGGAAGGGAAGGGAAGGGAAGGGAAGGGAAGGGAAGGGAAGGAAGGGAAGGGAAGGGAAGGGAAGGGAAGGGAAGGGAAGGGAAGGGAAGGGAAGGGAAGGGAAGGGAAGGGAAGGGAAGGCGCGGGAAGGGAAGGGAAGGGAAGGGAAGGGAAGGGAAGG